AUACGUAGGUGGCAAGCGUUGUCCGGAAUUAUUGGGCGUAAAGGGCGAGUAGGCGGCCAGUUAUGUCAGAUGUGAAAGGCUAGGGCUUAACCCUAACAUGGCAUUUGAAACUGAUUGGCUUGAGUGUAGGAGAGGGAAGUGGAAUUCCUAAUGUAGCGGUGAAAUGCGUAGAUAUUAGGAGGAACACCAGUGGCGAAGGCGACUUCCUGGCCUACAACUGACGCUGAUGCGCGAAAGCGUGGGGAGCAAACAGGAUUAGAUACCCUGGUAGUCCACGCCGUAAACGAUGGGUGCUAGGUGUGGGAGGUAUCGACCCCUUCCGUGCCAUAGUUAACGCAAUAAGCACCCCGCCUGGGGAGUACGGUCGCAAGACUGAA
Molecule: ribosomal RNA, 377 nt
Filed under: uncultured bacterium
Lineage: Bacteria
Description: bacterial SSU rRNA
Rfam family: Bacterial small subunit ribosomal RNA
Source: RNAcentral